Long non-coding RNA from Micropterus salmoides (largemouth bass), 555 nucleotides. RefSeq lists it as uncharacterized. The transcript is spliced from 3 exons. Lineage: Eukaryota; Metazoa; Chordata; Actinopteri; Centrarchiformes; Centrarchidae. The record is from RefSeq and is a predicted model, not a curated record.
ACACCUCAAUAAACUUCCCCAGCUGGACUCCCACCAGGGCACCUCUGGGCACAGCAAAACAAUCUCACCUCAAGGGCCAUUUAGUAGCUUUUCUGGAGCUUUCAGUCAUGAUCUGAUAUGCACCUACAAAUCCACAGGAUCUGGGAAAAAGGUCAUGCACAGGAUAAUGUGAUCUGAUCAAAAGGUCCAGAACAACCACUAAAUGGACUUGAGGUAAGGCUGUACCUCAGCGGACAGAAUUUUCCCCCUCUCCUGUUUCCACCUCCUUUUCAUGUCAGGACCAAUAUGGGACACCAUCUGCCUCCCCCUAAUAAGGACAGAGUCUUCUCCAGUUUCCCCAUACUUUUAUUACUUGGCCCGUGUGGGUGUUGAAUGAGUUAUUCGCCAAUCUUGCUGCAAGGAUCUGGAAACAUCCUCUGUUUAGACUGACAAACAAACUAAUAAUGAAAUCUUUUUUUUUUCCCCUGACAUUUUUUUACUGGAAGUGAAAGCCACCGUGGAAUGAAGUCGGUGUUUCUUGAGGACACACAGAUUUUCUUGUAACCACAAGGAGCA